AAGUCGUAACAAGGUCUCCGUAGGUGAACCUGCGGAGGGAUCAUUAACACGUAUCCUACGUAUAUACCAACCGUGAACUUGUUCUCCUGCUUUGAUUGGUAAAGUUUUGAGUGAAGUUGGCGUGAUAAUCUGAGCUAACUUCUCUCUCUGAGUAUUUUACUCGGGGCUUGCUGAUUAAGGCGUAUCUGUUUCCUUAUCACGAAACAAUUGUUUUAAUUUAUUAACUAUUUGUACUUCUUUUGUACUAAACACAUGCGACUUUAGUUGUUAAUGGCUUCGGCUAUUAUCUAACUACUGUUGUGUAAUUACGAAACGCUAAACAACUCUUAGCAACGGAUAUCUUGGUUCUG
RNAcentral lists this unclassified non-coding RNA (350 nucleotides) under fungal sp. Its description in RNAcentral is "partial internal transcribed spacer region". The stretch from base 1 to 46 matches the Rfam family "Eukaryotic small subunit ribosomal RNA", at positions 1786 to 1831 of the family's 1831-position model. The record is from RNAcentral. Lineage: Eukaryota; Fungi.